AUUUUGAUAGUAGGAAUAAAGGCGUAGACUAUUAUCUAAAUGGGGAGAGAAUCCAGAAAUCUGAGGUGCAAAGGGACUUGGGAGUGCUGGUGCAGGAUUCCCAUAAAGUUAAUCAUAAAGUCAAAUUGGUAGUAAGGAAUGUGAAUGAA
Long non-coding RNA from Amblyraja radiata (thorny skate), 149 nucleotides. RefSeq lists it as uncharacterized. The transcript has 3 exons. NCBI's taxonomy places the organism in Eukaryota, Metazoa, Chordata, Chondrichthyes, Rajiformes, Rajidae. The record is from RefSeq and is a predicted model, not a curated record.